CGCGUAGGCGGUCUUUUUAAGUCAGAUGUGAAAGCCCCUCGGCUUAACCGAGGAAGUGCAUUUGAUACUAAGAGACUUGAGUAUGGGAGAGGGAAGCGGAAUUCCUGGUGUAGCGGUGAAAUGCGUAGAUAUCAGGAGGAACACCGGUGGCGAAGGCGGCCUCCUGGACCAAUACUGACGCUGAGGCGCGAAGGCGUGGGGAGCAAACA
This 209-nucleotide ribosomal RNA is filed under the name uncultured Pseudomonadota bacterium. Its description in RNAcentral is "uncultured proteobacterium partial 16S ribosomal RNA". It matches the Rfam family "Bacterial small subunit ribosomal RNA", at positions 568 to 774 of the family's 1533-position model. The record is from RNAcentral. Lineage: Bacteria; Pseudomonadati; Pseudomonadota.